This 464-nucleotide ribosomal RNA is filed under the name Vreelandella stevensii. Its description in RNAcentral is "partial 16S ribosomal RNA". It matches the Rfam family "Bacterial small subunit ribosomal RNA", at positions 338 to 794 of the family's 1533-position model. The record is from RNAcentral. Lineage: Bacteria; Pseudomonadati; Pseudomonadota; Gammaproteobacteria; Oceanospirillales; Halomonadaceae.
CCUACGGGAUGCAGCAGUGGGGAAUAUUGGACAAUGGGCGAAAGCCUGAUCCAGCCAUGCCGCGUGUGUGAAGAAGGCCUUCGGGUUGUAAAGCACUUUCAGUGGGGAAGGAAGCCUUGGGGCUAAUACCCUCGAGGAAGGACAUCACCCACAGAAGAAGCACCGGCUAACUCCGUGCCAGCAGCCGCGGUAAUACGGAGGGUGCGAGCGUUAAUCGGAAUUACUGGGCGUAAAGCGCGCGUAGGCGGUCUGAUAAGCCGGUUGUGAAAGCCCCGGGCUCAACCUGGGAACGGCAUCCGGAACUGUCAGGCUAGAGUGCAGGAGAGGAAGGUAGAAUUCCCGGUGUAGCGGUGAAAUGCGUAGAGAUCGGGAGGAAUACCAGUGGCGAAGGCGGCCUUCUGGACUGACACUGACGCUGAGGUGCGAAAGCGUGGGUAGCAAACAGGAUUAGAUACCCUUGUAGU